CAACGCCGCGUGGAGGAUGAAGUCCCUUGGGACGUAAACUCCUUUCGAUCGGGACGAUUAUGACGGUACCGGAAGAAGAAGCCCCGGCUAACUUCGUGC
Molecule: ribosomal RNA, 99 nt
Filed under: uncultured bacterium
Lineage: Bacteria
Description: partial 16S ribosomal RNA
Rfam family: Bacterial small subunit ribosomal RNA
Source: RNAcentral